GGAGAGAGGCUGUGGCUCAGCAGUGGGUCACUUGCUUGGCAUGUAGAAGGUUCCAGGUUCAAUCCCUGGCAUUUCCA
This 77-nucleotide transfer RNA is filed under the name Sphaerodactylus townsendi. RNAcentral describes it as "tRNA-Ala". Lineage: Eukaryota; Metazoa; Chordata; Lepidosauria; Squamata; Sphaerodactylidae. The record is from RNAcentral.